AUCAAAAAGAAACAAAACUGAAAAGUCGCUAAUUAUCUUAUGACGUUAGAUUGGAUAAAACCGUACUUUAGGCAAUUAACAAAAUUAUGAGGUAAGUUCUUUAACUUGCAAUUUCAAAAACUUAUAAAACUUUUUCGAUUAGCAAUGGAAAUUAAGAAGAACUAAAGAUGAUUUUAAAACAACAACGUAAGAUCAGUUUUGGUAGAAACCAAUAAGUGCAAGCAAGACAAGGAGAUUGAAGCAGAACUGGCAGCUGAAAAUUUACUUUGAGGAACAAUUUUCAUGUGAAAUGGUGUUAGAAGUAUCUUCCAGUUAUUGGAUUUCAACUGUAAGAAUCUGUCAACCUGAUUAUGAAAAUAGGAAUAAAAUGGUGAAAAAAAUUGCAACAGAGUAAUGAAUGAAAAGAAAAUUAGCAAUGGAAUGGUGAGAAAAAUAGAAAUAGAAUAAUUAAAAAAAAUGAUCAGUCAGUAAGAUAACCAUUAAUAGUUUUUGUUUCUCAAAAAAGAAAGAAAUUUUUCUUUGUUCUUUGCUGUUUUAAACUUUGAUUUAUUUUCCCUAUUAAAAAUGUGAUAGCUGAUUAAACAUAAAGAGUUUGACUUCCAACCCAAAGAAAAUUACUACUGAUAUUAUAAUAAGGCAUCAAGGAUGAUCCUAUAUGAUUGAUAAAGUGUCAGAUUAUGUUUCACAGUACUUUGUUCAUAGUUACACAUUUCUUCAAUAAUGUCCCAUUGUGAUUUAAUUUUAUAAUGUAUGGAGGAUUGCAUGCGUGUGGUUUAAGGUGUUGCCUUCACUAUAGUUAGGUCAUAGUUUUAGUUCUUGGACCAGUUAGGCUUUACCUCUGCAAUGGCCUAGUGACCUGUUAAGUGGAGAGUUCUUUUACUUUUAGGAAACUCAGAUAAGCUCCAGCUCAUGAAUCUGUGUUUGUGGCAAAUUUAGGUAGAAGGAAUAUAGACUGGUUAAUAUUCCUUGCUCUUGAAAGUUGUACUUUGCACUUAUGGAGAAAAAAAUUAACUGGAUAUAGAAAUAUUAAGAUUUAAUCCACCAUUGGAGUCAUUAGUUUUUUGUUACACAAUCUAUCUAUUUGACAAAAUAUAUCAACCUCACAAAUACAUUCAGUUACUGAAUCUAGACAUGAAAUAAAAUGAUAACUAUAUAGAACUGUUUUGGCAAUGAGAUAUUGUUUGGCUAUAAUUCAUUUCAGUUCAGUACAAUUAAAUGAAAUAUAUCAUCAUUGUAUUUAGAAUGAAAAUAUAAUUGCUGCCUGAGUUGGAUUAUUGAUUUAUUCAUAACACUAAAAAACAACAAAAAAACAAAAACAAAAACAAAACAAAACAUAACUUAUCACAGCAAAUGUAAUGGUAAUAGAGAAAACAAAUGUAUGGAAAUGAAACAUCAGUAAUAUAUCUUAUUACAUAUUCAGUAUCACUAUGUAAUUAUCCACAUUCUUUAAUAUAGAAUCCAGCUGUAUGACACUCUUAAUUAAGAGAUUGUUAAUGACCUCAGUUGUCCAGAGUUAAAUACCAGAGAGUAGCAAAAAGUACAACCUUUUGUUGAGAUGACUACUGUCAGAUUGAAUGUUUUUUUUAGGCCAGCUAUGGCAAACCUAUGGCACAAGCAUCUAAAGUAGCACUUUGGAUUAGAAAUGAUGCAUUAUUCAUUCAUCCAUAAUUGUUCAAUAUGUGUUUGAUUCUUGCUUGAUUUUGUUGUGACACCAGCCCAUUACAGUUUUUUAGCUGUCAGAUUGCAGUAGGCACUCCUAUGCUAUACAGUUGUACUUUGUUUGAUAAGGGUCUGUAAUUUUUUGAAAAUUAGGCCUUGUUUUAAUUUUUUUCCAUCUCAGUGCAAAAGAAAAACAGUGACAGCAAUUGUGAAUUCAACAAACAGUGGGGGGAAAAAGCUCUUGUAGUAGGCAAUUCAGGAAAACUUUUGUGAAUUGUUUGUGAAGAUAGUUUCACAUAUUAAAAGACAUGAUCUUAACACACUGUACAAAACAUAACAUAAGACUUAAAUAGAAGGUAAGCUGAAGUUAGUGCUUGGGUGUGAGUUGAUAAAAUAUAUGUGUUGAAAGAAAUUGUGAAAGUUUGGUGAUAAGCAUUGGUAAAAGAAUAGUAGAUAUUCUUUGAUGGAAGGAGAAAUUGUUAGGCUGAGGUUGCAAAUAAAUUUUGGUAAUGGAAAAUAUUAAGGAAAAAAGUAAAUGGAAUUAGUAUGUGAAAGCAAAUGGUUAUAAGACACACCAACUGUCUGUCUAUCUAUCUCUGUCUGUCUAUCUAUCUCUGUCUGUCUAUCUGUCUCUGUCUGUCUAUCUGUCUCUGUCUGUCUGUCUAUCUGUCUCUUGAUGUAUUUGAGCAACUGAAAGGAUCUUUCCAUUCUGGUGCUUUAUUCCCUGUAGCUUUGGAUAAAUCUACUGACAUAUGUGAUACACCCCACAUAAGAAUUUUAAUAAGAAUUUUAGUGACUUUGAAUUACUUGUCUUGAGUUCCUUCAUGGAAAAAUAAUAUCAGACUUAUUUAACAAAGUGAAGUCAUUCUUGGAAAGUCUAAGUAAAUUCAUCUUUUUAAUUCUGAUGACUGGUAAAGCUGUUGAGAUAACAAUUUUGCUUGAAAAUGUCUGCAAUCAUUCUCAAGUAAAAAUAUCACAGCAUUGUAUGCCAAGGACUUUAAACCUGCAGUGCAAAAAUAUUGAGUGUUGUGAAAUGUUGGCAUAAAAUUGGGACAAGAACAUUAAAAAGAUAAAAAUUCAGAGGAUACUACAAAAUGGUAGAUUUGGAAUAUGGCAAUCAUGCCAGCUCAUCUAUUAUAUAGGAAAGCUAACCCACCUUUCAAUUAUUUAGCUAGUUUUCUAGAGGGCAGGUUCUAAGUAGAUUUUUGGAAAAUGAAAAAUUCUGCUAGUAAUGUUCUAGAAGACGAAAAUUACUUGCUUAACAGUAGAGCCCUUUUAUAUUUUUUUUUACUUGUUUCAGUCAUUUGACUGCAGCCAUGCUGGAGCACAGCCCUGUAGAGUUUUUUAGUUGAACAAAUCGACCCCUGGACUUAUUUUUUUUAAAGCCUAGUACUUAUUCUAUCAGUCUCUUUUGCCGAACCACUAAGUUACAGGGAUGUAAAUACACCAACACCGGUUGUCAAGCAGUGAUGGGGGACAAACACAGACACAAAGACAUACACACACACACACACACACACAUACGAUAGGCUUCAUUCAGUUCCUGGCUACCAAACCCACUCACAAGGUUUUGGUCAGCCUGAGGCUAUAGUAGAAGACAGUUGCCCAGGUGUCGUGCAGUGGGACUGAACCCAGAACCAUGUGGUUGGGAAGCAAGCUUCUUAUCACACAGUGAUGCCUGUGCCUAUAAUAACAAUUUUUUAUUUGAUUUAGAUUUUUAUUUAGCUGACAUUAUUAGAUGUAUCAAUGAUCUAAAUCUGAAACUACCAGACAAUAACAAAUUAUUUCCAAGCUUAGUAAAUGAUAUAUCACCGUAUUCAUGAAAUUAAAGCUGUUCAUUUCCCAGCUUCAAAAUGAGAAUUUGCGCCAGUUUUUGCUCUUAAGAGCAGCGUGACGGUGCUGAAGAUAAUGGCACUUUUAUAAAGUAUGUUGUAAACAAAAAAAAUCAGAUUAGUGCUAGAGCCAUUUAAAUGUUGUUUUCAUGAUCUUGUUAGAGAGGAAAACAGCAUACUCACAUGACAGAAACUGAAAGAAGCCCGU
This is a long non-coding RNA of Octopus bimaculoides (California two-spot octopus), 3699 nucleotides long. The record is from RefSeq and is a predicted model, not a curated record. NCBI's taxonomy places the organism in Eukaryota, Metazoa, Mollusca, Cephalopoda, Octopoda, Octopodidae.